Chiroxiphia lanceolata (lance-tailed manakin) is the source of this 3357-nucleotide long non-coding RNA. RefSeq lists it as uncharacterized. The record is from RefSeq and is a predicted model, not a curated record. NCBI's taxonomy places the organism in Eukaryota, Metazoa, Chordata, Aves, Passeriformes, Pipridae. The transcript has 3 exons.
GUUGAUAUUCAACCCUGUCCCUGUACAAACAGUUUUAUUAGAGUUCAAACUGUGUAGGACUCUAGACUGUUAAAUUACGCAUAAAAUUCAGCAGUUCUGACACACCUUUGGAUUUCUAUCUGUACAUAUAAUGAGAUUGCACUAUACUCUUGUCUAUAUAUUGGUGCAUUUACUCCUGCUUUUGCUGAUCUUAUGAUACGCUGUUGAAAUCUUCUAACUUUUGCGAACUCUGAUGACAAUCCCUGUAGAAACAAUAUCUAUUGUUAACAAAUUUAAUGAAGCCUGUAUUUUAUUCUUCUGAGAUUUGCCAUCUUAAAGUCUUGAUGGCAUAGCUUUCAGGAUGAAGAGUAGGAAAAAGGCAAAUGGACUCAAGUGUCUGAUCAAAGCCAUGGAGUGAUGUUUAGGCAAAAAACAGAUGUUAUGCAACCAUUUUCAGAAUCAAUUCCAUUGAAAAAUAUUCCACUGAUAAAAUAAAGAGGGUAUUAGAUAAAUAUAAAUGUAGAAGGACCCUUGAACUUAUUUAGUCCAACAAGUUCUUGGACUUGCUUGUUUUAUUAAAACAUUCCCUGUUUUAAAUGUAAACAACAGCAAGUUCCUAUAGCAAGUACUCCCAAACUUCCCUCUCCUUUUCAUCCAUCAGUGAGUCUGACAUUUGUUUAAAGUGCUGUCAAAACUCAUAACUGAGCAAACUGAAGCAUUAGAGUCAAGUAUGAACUUGGUAUACUGCACUUUUCAUGAAAAUGUAUAGUAACUAUGAAUUCUCAUAACGAAUACACUUCACCUAAGCCUAGGGCUAUGAAGACUGAAACCACCCCUCCACCCUGGUCCCAGACCUCGACAUGUGUUUCUUUCCAGGCUGUUUUGAGGAGUUGAAUGUCUCCCCUAUAUUUUGUUCAGAGAUUUGUUCUAUAGUUGUGACUCUUACACCAUAAACUAGCAAAUAAAUUGUGACAGACAGACCUUGGGUAAUUUUAGUAGGAAACUUCAAAAUAUAGAAGAAAUAUAAAAAAGGUGUUGCAAAAUAACCUGAUCUAUUGAUAAUAUAUGGUAAGAUUUUAAAAUAAAAAGCAUAUAGAGUAAAAUAUAAGAGACAAGUAAAUUGCCUUGUCUGUUUAUUGCACUUGAACCUUCUGUUGCCAUUAGAAGUGCACAUUGCUAUAAAACCAGUCGUGUUAAGCAGGGAAACACAACUAGCUACAGAGAAGGAAGAUUUCCCAUCUCCCUUGAUUUUUUGAUGUGACAAACUAGCUUGACUGCAUCAAUGAACUGACUCACUAAGAAAAUAUGUUCCUCACAUAAAUACUUUCCCUCUAGUAAAUCUCUUUUACCUCUCUCAGAGUCCUAAAUUAUGCUGAGUUAAUAGUUAUCUGAAGAGAGUGAAUGAAAAAGGCAAGCCUCAGCUGUUGUUGUGUACUAAGCUGAUGUCCACCUAGGUGCAUCAUUUAUUGCUGCCAGGAAGAGGUCCAGUGAUUCAGUGCCUCUCUUUCAGAGCUAGAUCAACUUGGUACUCUUUGUAAAUGAGGUACACUUGCAUCAGGUGGGCACACCAUGAUGUUGCAUGAGUGCUGUUUGUAUUUCUCUGUGGUUAAAGAGCAGUUUGACUAAUGAUUCCAGUAGUUUGGUAGCCUUUAUCAGAUAAAAAAGUCAUGAAAAAUCCCAGUGGCCACUGACAUUAUCCCACUAGAUGGUACAUUCAAAGGAUACUUCUGGGGCCAAAUAAAUAAAAACAAGUGAAGAAUAUCUGUAAGGAAAAACAGCAACAAACUUGAAUGUAAUGAAAACAGAAAAUGAGUUAGUUGCUACUUAAUGUUUCCAUAUCAUAAUUCUAGGUCAUUGCACGUCCAAGCUUUUUUAGCCUGUUGAAACAUGAUACUUUGUCUUAAACUUCUUAGUUUUAAUUUCAGCACUAUUCAUCUGCUAACUAGUAUAUCGAGAGAGAUUUUUUUAACCUAUAGCUUGUUGGAGAAAGAGAAGACGUAAGUCAGAGAUGUUUGGGUGGAGUGAGGAGGGCUAUUAUGGCAAAAUAUAUGCCUCAUGUCAUAAUAGAGAAAUGGCUCAGCUUUGGAGAGCACUUCUCACCACCCAUUCCCAUACCCACAAUCACGUUGCCAAAUUAAAUACUGGGAAAUACUGGCCACCUUAAAAUAGAGAUAGUAAGAGAGAUAACAGUAAAAGAGUAAAACCUCAGUGAAACAAUAAAAGGAAUGGAUGAUUUGUUCCAGUGUAAAAGCACAAUGAUGGAAUUGAUUUUCCUCUGCAAUGUCUUGAAAAUAACUAGAAGAUACUUUUCCCUUUUUUAAUGUAAAAGAAGUAUUAUGAACUACUGUGUCAAGUAGCCAACUUUCAGUCUAGUUUAGGCAUGUUCUCAGUGCAGCAUCUGAGUUCAUGGACAAUUAGCAGCAGGUAUAAAUUAAAGUGCUCUUUACAGUAAGGGCAGAUAACCACCUUUAUUAAAAAGACUCAUAAGUGUAUCUUUGUCUUUAACUAUUUGCUUACUUCCACUGAUAUGGUCAAAUAUAUAAGGAUGACUGGGUUAGGUGAGGUUGAUGCAAUUUAGCUAUGCUUCACUGAGCAAGGUGAGAUUUUCAGAAGUGAGAUUAUCAUUGAUUUCCUUUUAAGUUGUGAAUGCUCGACCACUGUCUUAUUAAAGUAGUUCUGGUUGGCUGCGUUUUGGAUAUGGAUUUUUUUCUUCUCUUAAAAAAAAAGUAAAACGUUUUCCACAGCCAUCUCUACUUUUCCUUGCUGUAUGAGAACAGUGCCUUCUAGAUACUAUACUACAGUAAAGAAAGACAUCUUGUAAUCAAGUAUUGAGCAAAAUUACUUGUUCUGGGAAGGGAUAACCCUUAACCUUGAGAACUAUGUGCUGUGUUCAUGAUAAGUACUGCCCACCAUAGGAGACAAUCAGAUUCAAGACCAUCUAAGGAACCUUAAUGUGCACAAAUCCAUGGGACCUGAUGAGAUACAUCCAAGGGUCUUGAGGAAACUGGCAGAUGAAGUUACUAAGCCAUUCUAUCAUAUCUGAAGAGUCAUGGCAGACUGGGGAAGUUCUGCCAUGGUAUAACUGCAGCCAGCAACUAAGCACCAAGCAACUGCUCACUGACUUUCUCCUAGCGCUGUAGGAGAGAGAACUGGAAGGGUAAGGGUGAGAAAACUCAUGGGUUGAGGUAAAGGAAGUUUAGUAGGGAAAGUGAAAGCCACACACAAAACCAAGGAAUUAAUUCACCACUUCCCAUGGGCAGAGGGCGGGUGUUCAGCCCUCUUCAGGAAAGCAGGAUUACAUCAUGCAUAGCGGUUACUCACUCACUCAUGGCUGGGCUUCAUGAACAAAGAUUUGGGAAGGUCUCUACCCACGUUUGU